Molecule: long non-coding RNA, 1036 nt
Filed under: Phascolarctos cinereus (koala)
Lineage: Eukaryota; Metazoa; Chordata; Mammalia; Diprotodontia; Phascolarctidae
Description: lncRNA (ENSPCIG00000004930.2)
Source: RNAcentral
AAGAAAUAUACAGAGUUCAGAAAGAGCCUUACAUUGGAUCCUGACUGCUAGAGAAAACAGAAUUUACAUGUAGCAAUCCGGAAAGUUUCCAAGGCAACACCAGCUUCUUAUGACAUCCCAAAGAGAGGUCACAAUUGUGGCAGGCAUGUCAAUAUUGCUGGUUAAGCCUUGAGAGGUCCUUUUUGGUUAGGAUGAGAACAUCAUGGCCUCACCUUUGGAUUCCAAAGCAGAUUCAACACAAGAGUUCUUAAAAACACAAUACUUUUAUUGGCUUCUCAUCCUUUGGCAACAGCACACUCAUAUGCAGCUUGUUGAUUUGGCUGAAUCCUUCAUUCAGGAGCUUGGUGUAGCGUUCAGUGUGGCUCCUCCUGCAGUUCUUCUUGGCUCCCAGAGGUCAGCACCAGGCAGUGCUCUCAGGUUUACCAUGUCUUACUUACUCUGUACGUCUCAAGGGACUUUGAGAAGACACCUUCAUCAUUACGUCAAAAAACACUUACUAAGCAACAAUGACAUGCAAGAUACCAUGCUAAAUAUUGGGAAUGUGAAGAAAGAUAAAAUAUGGUCUAUAUUCUCAAGCAGCUAUAACCAUAGAUUUAGAGCUGAAAGUGAUCUCAGAGUCCAGUUCUCUUAUUUUACAGAGGAGAUCCAGAAAAGUGAAUGGACUUUCCCAUUGUGACAUGGUUGCUCACCAUGGCAGAACUGGCAUUCAGACUCAGGUCAUCUCACUCCAAAUUUGGCAGUCUUUCCACACUGCUGGGGGGGUAGCACUGAUUAUUUAUUUCAGAAACCAAACAGCUAUACUUUCCUUUAAAAUAUCCAGGAAAAAAGACUCUGCUACUAUUCCAGGAGUGUAUUUCAAUGUUUCAAAGCCAUUAAGAUGUCCUUUAUAAUGUCAAAUGUGUCUCCAGCUGCCGCUGAGUUAAUGUCUGUAAAAUACUUGAAACUCAUUAAAUUAAAACAUACUGUAUGGGUCCUGACCAUUGCUGUUCUGUGUGAGGGUUAUGAGUUUUGGACUUAGGUCAGCAAUUUCCCUAUC